This is a long non-coding RNA of Cololabis saira (Pacific saury), 3311 nucleotides long. RefSeq lists it as uncharacterized. The record is from RefSeq and is a predicted model, not a curated record. The transcript is spliced from 3 exons. Lineage: Eukaryota; Metazoa; Chordata; Actinopteri; Beloniformes; Belonidae.
GGGAUAAAAGGGGGCGCAUACAAAGCAGCAUAAACCUGUGGCUGGGAGCAGCUGGAGACCGGGGACCGCUGAUUAAUUCAGCUCUGCGCAGUCAAAGGAGCCACUGUUCCCAUUAAUGUCCUCAAUUCGUUUUCUUUGUCCCGGGACCUCUGUGUGGACCGGACUCCCUGUCGGCGAGCAGCUGUUGUCGGCACUCCCACAUCUGCUUGUCUCGUCUGCAGCAUGGAGAGGAAAGGACGCUGCGCUCGCGGAUCCUGUGCAGCUACUGGGCCCGAGGAGCGACCAGAUCUUUUUUUUUUUUAAACUGCAACCAUAAUCAAUGUUCUGCACACGAAGGGUGAUCGCAUGCUGAGCGGCAUACCAUCCACGGAGGAGGAAAAAAUGGAGAAGAAAAGACCAUGAAACAGCGAUCUUUUCUGGUGAUGCUGCGGGACAGGUGCGUGCGGAACCUGGAGACCUACUGGAUGACAUGAGACCAAUCUGGAUGCGGGAUGACACCAGCCGACGCCUCGAGGAUCAGCUGUACAGGUUAUGUAUACACAAUGGAUUAUGUUUGUUCAUUUUUUCCCCCAUUGGAGAGAAUACUGUCAGUUAAGCCUUUUCUGGCCUAACUUUUACCUAACAAUUUAAGCUUUCACUUGUGUCAAAAAUAGUUGCUAGAAACAAUAAUGUGCAGGGUGGACUAUCCUGAUCCUUUUGUGUGUAGUGGGAGGACAGCUGUGUUGCGUAUCACUUUCCUGCUGCUUUGUGUUACGUGUUUUUCUCCAGUUACACUGAUGACAAAGCUGAGAAGGGCUCGACAGGACUUAAAUGUACCCCUCGUGCCAUUGCUCCAUCACCCUCUGCCAUGUUGCCUCGCAAGACUGGUACUGGAUCUAUCAAAACCACUGUUGACUGAUUCAUGGCGCCGUUUCUGCGUUCCUGCACCUCCAGGGGGAGAAAGUCCAUGUUACACUGUUUCCUCAUCAAGAGACAGCUUCUGCAGCAUUUGUGUAUCAGUGAACAGAGAUAACAUUGCAACUUUGUACGUUUGUUAGUAUCUGGCUGAUCAGUUUUUAUCAGGAAGGCAAUUUGUGAGUUCUAAGACAUCCCCUCCUGUUUCUCUUUCUGUCUCCUACGGUUUUAUCCCCCCUGUUUCUCUUUUGAUGAUCAGACACACUGUCUGCUGCCCUUUUUUAUGCUGUUGCUGAGUUAUUUUCGUUUAAUAUAAGCUUAUCUAGACGUGGAACAUCACCAGUUCCCGUUUUCUCUAUCACUGCCAGAUUUAGAUUCUGAAAGCUGUUAUAUUUUCAGUCCUUAAGGACAAGAAUAUGAUAAGCUGGAGUGAUUUAGAAUGACCCAUUUUUCUCACCCUCUAAUUAUGUGUUAUUCACACAUUUUUGUUUGUUGUGAAAACUCUUAACUUCAGUGUGAUGCAAAUUAUUUUCACUGUACUACUCACGACACGUGUAGUGUGUGUGUGUCUGUGCGUGACGCGUGUGGGUGUCUGUGGGAGUGCAUGUGUUUCUUUGCAUGUGCUCAAUUUUGUGUAUGUGUUUGAAUUAGUAUGUGUGCAUGUGUGCCACGUCGGUUUGAUGACAUGUAAUGAGUCCGAAGCUGAAGCCAGAACUGUUUUAGUCUCUGGAUGUACCAGAUAAGGGAUAAAACAUUAUUUACUAAUGAUUUUAAGCAUUUGCUCCAACCUUGCAGAACAGCACCUACACUUGUGUGUAGAUAACAAGGACGACAUCAGAAAUUAGUGGUGCUCAGUUUUCUAAAUGAUGCCUGCUGGCAUAAAUUAAACUGUCCUGAUGCCAGCAGCUCCAUCAUUUACCACUUAGGCAAAUUACCGCAAAUGCUAAAAAUGAUGUGUAAAUGGCUUUUACCCUAGUCUGGUUUGUACUAACAGGAUCUGACUAAUAUCUAACAGUACUAAUGUCUGCUAACAGUUGGAGGAUUACUAACCUGUGUUGCGAAUGCUGACAGCUUGCAUUUCUAACCCACUAACUAACCCUCUGCUUUCUGCCCGCAGUCCGAGGCUCACACUCCUCUCGCAUGAUCCUGCAACCUUUCUUUCAGAAAUUUCCAAUUCAUCUUAACGAUUCAAGAACUUCUGCAUAAAAAUGUAAAAGAAAAACAUAGAGGUUACAGCAUGCAUGUGAAGAAGGGUUUCAGGACCUGGGAAGGGAAAAGUUAUUAACCACAGGAUAGAAAGAGGAACGGCAUCAGCUGCUGAUUUCAGACUGGGUUGACCACAUACUGAAGAAGAAUCUAAACAAAACGUACAAUUAAUAUUCAAAAUAAAGAAUCUAAUUAAAUUUGGAGGCCAAAUUCUCGUGUUUUACAGAUCAAUUUCUCAUCUCAGAGUGUUUUGUGUGGUCAACCUUUGCAGGUGAGAGCCUGGCUUGUUGUCACCACAGGUAGUAGGCUGACAGUAAGACAAAAGCCACGCAAGUCUCAGCUCCAGUACUAACCUGUUAUGGUGUUAAUGCCGACAAUGGUGAGGCUGUGACGGUCCACCUGUUCUACUUACUAACACCUCACAGUUGUUCGAUCAGCUUUAGAGACAGUAAAUCAACGCAUGCCUUUUUGUAAACAGUGAUGCUCAUUAAAAAACAUCACAUGGAGGCUUUCUGACGGCAUCGCAAGCGCGUGCAUUUUAGAACUUCGUCAGUCCUAUGGAGGAAAAGUUUUGCCUGUUGAAAACUAUGUUAACAGUUACUAACCCGGGGAUCUUAUACUUGCUUUCUGCAAACUAACAUACUAACAUACUAAUAAACUAACCAGAACAAACUACAAUCACUAACUUUGCUUAUUGAGGAAGUCAGUGAACCAGCCUGAAACUGAAGAGCUACGUCACGUUUUUAAGGUCUGUGAUGCUUGAAUGGGUGUUUAAAACAAGUGUGUGUGUGUGUGUGUGUGUGUGUGUGUGUGUGUGUGUGUGUGUGUGUGUGUGUGUGUGUGUGUGUGUGUGUGUGUGAGAGAGAUAAUGUGUUUGUGAAAGAUGUGUAUUUGUGUGAAAAUUGAAAAAAAGACUUUUAAAUGAACAAGCCGUCACUUAGUUUUGCUUGAAAAAGCAAUAAUUUAACAAAACCAGGUAGAUUUUAAUGUUAAAUCUCAAAAAUGAAGAUACAAUCCCAGUUGCUUUUAAUUAAAGAUUUCUUUGGGGUUAUAAUUGAUCUGAGUAGCUGAGAAUCUGUACUGCUGGGAAUUAACACUGUGCUGAUCCAAAAUGUGAGAAAUGUCAAUUCAUGCAUUUAAUUGUGUAUUUAUCCGUCAUCCCAACACUACCAUUGUCUUUGAAUUGUACUCAUACAGAAAUAAAGCCUAUU